GACGAACGCUGGCGGCGUGCCUAAUACAUGCAAGUUGAGCGCUGAAGGUUGGUACUUGUACCGACUGGAUGAGCAGCGAACGGGUGAGUAACGCGUGGGGAAUCUGCCUUUGAGCGGGGGACAACAUUUGGAAACGAAUGCUAAUACCGCAUAAAAACUUUAAACACAAGUUUUAAGUUUGAAAGAUGCAAUUGCAUCUCUCAAAGAUGAUCCCGCGUUGUAUUAGCUAGUUGGUGAGGUAAAGGCUCACCAAGGCGAUGAUACAUAGCCGACCUGAGAGGGUGAUCGGCCAACUUGGGAAUGAGACACGGCCCAAACUCCUACGGGAGGCAGCAGUAGGGAAUCUUCGGAAAUGGACGAAAGUCUGACCGAGCAACGCCGCGGGAGGGAAGAAGGUUGUCGGAUCGUAAAACUCUGUUGGUAGAGAAGAAAGUUGGUGAGAGUGGAAAGCUCAUCAAGUGACGGUAACUACACAGAAAGGGACGGCUAACUACGUG
This 497-nucleotide ribosomal RNA is filed under the name uncultured bacterium. RNAcentral describes it as "partial 16S ribosomal RNA". It matches the Rfam family "Bacterial small subunit ribosomal RNA", at positions 28 to 507 of the family's 1533-position model. The record is from RNAcentral.